CAGUCGCCGCGGUAAUACGUAGGGCGCGAGCGCUGUCCGGAAUUAUUGGGCGUAAAGGGCUCGCAGGCGGUUUCUUAAGUCUGAUGUGAAAGCCCCCGGCUCAACCGGGGAGGGUCAUUGAAAACUGGGAAACUUGAGUGCAGGAGAGGAGGGUGGAAUUCCACGUGUAGCGGUGAAAUGCGUAGAGAUGUGGAGGAACACCAGUGGCGAAGGCGACUCUCUGGUCUGUAACUGACGCUGAGGAGCGAAAGCGUGGGGAGCGAACAGGAUUAGAUACCCCGGUAGUCCCUGUCUCUUAUAC
RNAcentral lists this ribosomal RNA (301 nucleotides) under uncultured bacterium. RNAcentral's name for it is "partial 16S ribosomal RNA". It matches the Rfam family "Bacterial small subunit ribosomal RNA", at positions 509 to 807 of the family's 1533-position model. The record is from RNAcentral.